GAAGUGCGAUAAGUGUCAUGACUUGCAGAUUCCCGAGAGCUGACAAAUCUCUGAAUGCAAAUGGCGGUCGUCACAACGGCCAUGGAUUGCAGAGUGUAGUUGUUCAUACUCAUCAUCCCUCUCUUCAAUGAUACUAUCUUGAAGAGCAGAUGGGGAUCUGCGCUUGCGACUUUCCUCGCGAGUGUGAAGCAGCUUCAUAUGAGGGCAGAGAGCUGUCUUCGGACAGUUCUCUGACGCUUCGGAUUAUGCGCCUUAUAUUGGGUGUUGAGCGAGCGGAAAUCCCUCAGUUUCGAGAAGCAACUCUUUAUCUUUUCCAAGCCACCUCUGCGAUGCAGGAGUACCCGCUGAACUUAA
RNAcentral lists this unclassified non-coding RNA (354 nucleotides) under uncultured fungus. RNAcentral describes it as "sequence contains ITS1". The stretch from base 1 to 99 matches the Rfam family "5.8S ribosomal RNA", at positions 50 to 154 of the family's 154-position model. The record is from RNAcentral. Lineage: Eukaryota; Fungi.